GAUGAACGCUGGCGGAGUGCCUAAUACAUGCAAGUCGAGCUGAAGGACGGGAAGGUUGCUUCUCUGAUGUUAAAGGCGGACGGGAGUGUCACACGUGGAUGACCCAACUUUAAGAAAGGGAUACCUUCGGGUAACCUUAGCUAAUACCGGCUACUAUUUUUUACCACAUGGAUCUAAACUGAAAGACGGUCUUGCUGUCACUUAUCGAUGGAUCCGCGCUGCAUUAGAUAGUUGGUAAGGUAACGACUUACCCUGGGAACGAUGCAUAGCCGACCUGAGAGGGUGGGCGGCCACACUGGGACUGAGACACGGGCCAAGCUCCUACGGGAGGCAGCAGUAGGGAAUCUUGCGCAAUGGGCGAAAGCCUUACGGAGCAACGCCGCGUGAGUGAUGAAGGUCUUCGGAUCGUAAAACUCUGUUAUUAGGGAAGAACAUAUGUGUAAGUAACUGUGCACAUCUUGACGGUACCUAAUCAGAAAGCCACGGCUAACUACGUG
This 497-nucleotide ribosomal RNA is filed under the name uncultured bacterium. RNAcentral's name for it is "partial 16S ribosomal RNA". It matches the Rfam family "Bacterial small subunit ribosomal RNA", at positions 28 to 507 of the family's 1533-position model. The record is from RNAcentral.